This 432-nucleotide ribosomal RNA is filed under the name uncultured bacterium. RNAcentral's name for it is "partial 16S ribosomal RNA". It matches the Rfam family "Bacterial small subunit ribosomal RNA", at positions 29 to 507 of the family's 1533-position model. The record is from RNAcentral.
AACGAACGCUGGCGGCAUGCCUAACACAUGCAAGUCGAACGAGACCUUCGGGUCUAGUGGCGCACGGGUGCGUAACGCGUGGGAACCUGCCCUUAGGUUCGGAAUAACUCAGAGAAAGUGGUGCUAAUACCGGAUCAUGUCUUCUGACCAAAGAUUUAUCGCCUUUAGAUGGGCCCGCGUUGGAUUAGCUAGUUGGUGGGGUAAAGGCCUACAAAGGCGACGAUCCAUAGCUGGUCUGAGAGGAUGAUCAGCAACCCUGGGACUGGGACCCGGCCCGGAUCCUUCGGGGAGGCCGAAGGGGGGAAGAUGGGACAAUGGGCGAAAGCUGGAGCAAGCCGGGCCGUGGAAGUGAUGAAGGCGUGAGGGUUGUAAGGCUAUUUAACCAGGGAGGUUAAUAAGAGACCCGGGAAAAUAAGCUCGGCUUAAUUCGUG